Molecule: ribosomal RNA, 497 nt
Filed under: uncultured bacterium
Lineage: Bacteria
Description: partial 16S ribosomal RNA
Rfam family: Bacterial small subunit ribosomal RNA
Source: RNAcentral
GAUGAACGCUGGCGGCGUGCCUAAUACAUGCAAGUCGAGCGAACGGACGAGAAGCUUGCUUCUCUGAUGUUAGCGGCGGACGGGUGAGUAACACGUGGAUAACCUACCUAUAAGACUGGGAUAACUUCGGGAAACCGGAGCUAAUACCGGAUAAUAUUUUGAACCGCAUGGUUCAAAAGUGAAAGACGGUCUUGCUGUCACUUAUAGAUGGAUCCGCGCUGCAUUAGCUAGUUGGUAAGGUAACGGCUUACCAAGGCAACGAUGCAUAGCCGACCUGAGAGGGUGAUCGGCCACACUGGAACUGAGACACGGUCCAGACUCCUACGGGAGGCAGCAGUAGGGAAUCUUCCGCAAUGGGCGAAAGCCUGACGGAGCAACGCCGCGUGAGUGAUGAAGGUCUUCGGAUCGUAAAACUCUGUUAUUAGGGAAGAACAAAUGUGUAAGUAACUAUGCACGUCUUGACGGUACCUAAUCAGAAAGCCACGGCUAACUACGUG